CACCUCUUGAGAGCGGCGGACGGGUGAGUAAAGCCUAGGAAUCUGCCUGGUAGUGGGGGAUAACGCUCGGAAACGGACGCUAAUACCGCAUACGUCCUACGGGAGAAAGCAGGGGACCUUCGGGCCUUGCGCUAUCAGAUGAGCCUAGGUCGGAUUAGCUAGUUGGUGAGGUAAUGGCUCACCAAGGCGACGAUCCGUAACUGGUCUGAGAGGAUGAUCAGUCACACUGGAACUGAGACACGGUCCAGACUCCUACGGGAGGCAGCAGUGGGGAAUAUUGGACAAUGGGCGAAAGCCUGAUCCAGCCAUGCCGCGUGUGUGAAGAAGGUCUUCGGAUUGUAAAGCACUUUAAGUUGGGAGGAAGGGCAUUAACCUAAUACGUUAGUGUUUUGACGUUACCGACAGAAUAAGCACCGGCUAACUCUGUGCCAGCAGCCGCGGUAAUACAGAGGGUGCAAGCGUUAAUCGGAAUUACUGGGCGUAAAGCGCGCGUAGGUGGUUCGUUAAGUUGGAUGUGAAAUCCCCGGGCUCAACCUGGGAACUGCAUUCAAAACUGUCGAGCUAGAGUAUGGUAGAGGGUGGUGGAAUUUCCUGUGUAGCGGUGAAAUGCGUAGAUAUAGGAAGGAACACCAGUGGCGAAGGCGACCACCUGGACUGAUACUGACACUGAG
Molecule: ribosomal RNA, 671 nt
Filed under: Pseudomonas brassicacearum
Lineage: Bacteria; Pseudomonadati; Pseudomonadota; Gammaproteobacteria; Pseudomonadales; Pseudomonadaceae
Description: bacterial SSU rRNA
Rfam family: Bacterial small subunit ribosomal RNA
Source: RNAcentral